UACAUUUGGUAGAGAUUGUUGAGGACCCCUGGUCCCAGUAGACCCCAGGAAAUGCCCACAUUCGCUGGUGCUGGAACAAGGUGAUUAAGGGUGAAGCCUGGUGCCAGAUGUGU
Molecule: ribosomal RNA, 113 nt
Organism: Panthera pardus (leopard)
Lineage: Eukaryota; Metazoa; Chordata; Mammalia; Carnivora; Felidae
Source: Ensembl